RNAcentral lists this unclassified non-coding RNA (336 nucleotides) under soil metagenome. RNAcentral's name for it is "partial contains 5.8S ribosomal RNA, internal transcribed spacer 2, and large subunit ribosomal RNA". The stretch from base 1 to 120 matches the Rfam family "5.8S ribosomal RNA", at positions 35 to 154 of the family's 154-position model. The record is from RNAcentral.
GAUGAAGAACGUAGCGAAAUGCGAUAAGUAAUGUGAAUUGCAGAAUUCAGUGAAUCAUCGAAUCUUUGAACGCACAUUGCGCCCGCCAGUAUUCUGGCGGGCAUGCCUGUUCGAGCGUCAUUUCAACCAUCAAGCCCCCGGCUUGUGUUGGGGACCUGCGGCUGCCGCAGGCCCUGAAAAGCAGUGGCGGGCUCGCUGUCACACCGAGCGUAGUAGAUUUCAUCUCGCUCAGGGCGUGCUGCGGGUUCCGGCCGUUAAACCACCUUCAUAACCCAAGGUUGACCUCGGAUCAGGUAGGAAGACCCGCUGAACUUAAGCAUAUCAAUAAGCGUAGGA